GACGAACGCUGGCGGCGUGCUUAACACAUGCAAGUCGAACGGAAAGGCCCUGCUUUUGUGGGGUGCUCGAGUGGCGAACGGGUGAGUAACACGUGAGUAACCUGCCCUUGACUUUGGGAUAACUUCAGGAAACUGGGGCUAAUACCGGAUAGGAGCUCCUGCUGCAUGGUGGGGGUUGGAAAGUUUCGGCGGUUGGGGAUGGACUCGCGGCUUAUCAGCUUGUUGGUGGGGUAGUGGCUUACCAAGGCUUUGACGGGUAGCCGGCCUGAGAGGGUGACCGGACACAUUGGGACUGAGAUACGGCACAGACUCCUACGGGAGGCAGCAGUGGGGAAUAUUGUACAAUGGGCGGAAGCCUGAUGCAGCAAAGCCGCGUGCGGGAUGACGGCCUUCGGGUUGUAAACCGAUUUCGCCUGUGACGAAGCGUGAGUGACGGUAAUGGGUAAAGAAGCACCGGCUAACUACGUG
This 468-nucleotide ribosomal RNA is filed under the name uncultured bacterium. Its description in RNAcentral is "partial 16S ribosomal RNA". It matches the Rfam family "Bacterial small subunit ribosomal RNA", at positions 28 to 507 of the family's 1533-position model. The record is from RNAcentral.